Molecule: ribosomal RNA, 373 nt
Filed under: uncultured organism
Description: partial 16S ribosomal RNA
Rfam family: Bacterial small subunit ribosomal RNA
Source: RNAcentral
GUAGGUGGCAGGCGUUGUCCGGAAUUAUUGGGCGUAAAGCGCGCGCAGGCGGUCCUUUAAGUCUGAUGUGAAAGCCCACGGCUCAACCGUGGAGGGUCAUUGGAAACUGGGGGACUUGAGUACAGAAGAGGAAAGCGGAAUUCCAAGUGUAGCGGUGAAAUGCGUAGAGAUUUGGAGGAACACCAGUGGCGAAGGCGGCUUUCUGGUCUGUAACUGACGCUGAGGCGCGAAAGCGUGGGGAGCAAACAGGAUUAGAUACCCUGGUAGUCCACGCCGUAAACGAUGAGUGCUAAGUGUUAGGGGGUUUCCCGCCCCCUUAGUGCUGCAGCUAACGCAUUAAGCACUCCGCCUGGGGAGUACGGCCGCAAGGCUG